UACGGAGGGUGCAAGCGUUGUUCGGAAUUACUGGGCGUAAAGCGCGUGUAGGCGGCUUGGCAAGUCGGGUGUGAAAUCCCGGGGCUCAACCCCGGAACUGCAUUCGAAACUGCCUGGCUGGAGUCCCGGAGAGGGUGGUGGAAUUCCCAGUGUAGAGGUGAAAUUCGUAGAGAUUGGGAGGAACACCAGUGGCGAAGGCGGCCACCUGGACGGUGACUGACGCUGAGACGCGAAAGCGUGGGGAGCAAACAGG
RNAcentral lists this ribosomal RNA (253 nucleotides) under uncultured bacterium. RNAcentral describes it as "partial 16S ribosomal RNA". It matches the Rfam family "Bacterial small subunit ribosomal RNA", at positions 524 to 776 of the family's 1533-position model. The record is from RNAcentral.